Molecule: long non-coding RNA, 1120 nt
Organism: Zingiber officinale
Lineage: Eukaryota; Viridiplantae; Streptophyta; Magnoliopsida; Zingiberales; Zingiberaceae
Exons: 3
Source: RefSeq, a predicted model, not a curated record
UACAUAUUGGGCCUCGGGAAAGCCUGUUUAGGCUAUCCCGUUUAAGCGAGGAAAUAUUUUAUUUUCUUUUAUUUUUCUCUUUUCUUUUAUUAUUCUCCGUUUUCCUUUUUCUCCCGCAUGCCCGAGCCAUCCCCGAACGUCCGAUCCUUGCCCUAACCGGCGGUGGUUUCCUUCUCCCUCACAUACAAAGUCGUGGCCGAGGGAUGUGCAUCUCCUUUCCCUUCACUCUUCUUCAACACCGAUCCUCUUCUUCCCCUUCCUCUCCGAUCGACGUCGGCCAUGCCUUCUCCACCCGACGGUGCCGCACACCUGACGCCACUGCCGCCUCCCUUCCUCCACUCGACGCCGAUCGUCGACCCCUCUCUGUGCUCAUGCCCUAGCUUCCCGACGCCGAUUUCUUUCUCUCUGUCGAGGUUGCGUCACUGCGUCCACUGUGGGCUCACACCCGACACCGCCGAGUUCACCUUUUCUUCAUCGCGCUACUGCCUCCUCUCGGUCGAUCCACCUCUACUGGCAUCCGAGCCCUCUUUCCAGAGGUGCCCUAGCCCUGAUCUGCCGGUCACUUCUGAGUGAGGAUCCUGAUUCCUCUUCCUCAUGAUCUUCUCCACAGUUUGAUCAUAUCUGGAUCUAGACAUUGGCCAUGUGGUCGACGUCGUUGAUGUUGUCUCCAGCCGAUCACUGCUGGCAACAGUAAGGCACUACCGGAGAGGAAGGAGGUCAAGUUAGCAGCAUCUCCUUUCCGGUAGCAAACUUUUCGGUUGUGAAUUGAGGAUUUUGACUUGAGAUGGUGUCUCGACGAGGGAUCUAUUUCAGAUAUGAUCCUAUUAUUGGAGGCGGGUACCUUGACUUAUUUUUUAGAUUUGUCAUUUGAUGUGCAUAGUAGUUUUCAACAAAUAGUAAUGCUUAUGUUUUAUAUCUGCAUCGGUAUAUCAUUAUCCAUUACCUGUGCAUGUUUUGAUUAUUACCUGUAUUAGCAUUCAUGUUUAUAUCCUUCAUAUUACUAGUGAUCAUAGAGGUAAUGACAUACCAUGCCUUUUGAUAUACCAGACUAGGUUUUUAUAUCAUACUUGACCUGUGUAUCCUAGAUCUUCGUAUUUGACCCAUUGAUAUUAGGGUACAC